AUUUAUGUAGUAUAAAAAUUAUUUUUAAUUUCCAAUUAAAAGAUCUAAAAUUAGCAUAAAUA
RNAcentral lists this transfer RNA (62 nucleotides) under Eurypogon sp. EUR01. Its description in RNAcentral is "tRNA-Gly". Lineage: Eukaryota; Metazoa; Arthropoda; Insecta; Coleoptera; Artematopodidae. The record is from RNAcentral.